This 511-nucleotide ribosomal RNA is filed under the name Craniella australiensis. RNAcentral's name for it is "partial 28S ribosomal RNA". It matches the Rfam family "Eukaryotic large subunit ribosomal RNA", at positions 74 to 491 of the family's 3401-position model. Lineage: Eukaryota; Metazoa; Porifera; Demospongiae; Tetractinellida; Tetillidae. The record is from RNAcentral.
AUUCCCCCAGUAACGGCGAGCGAAGCGGGAGCAGCUCGAGCAGUCAAUCUCUGGCGUUGAUCGUCAGCGAAUUGUGGCCGGGAGAGGCGGGUGCACCCGAGGCGCCUCUGCCGAAGUUGACCUGGAAAGGCACGUCGGAGAGGGUGAUAACCCCGUUGCGGGGCGGAGGUGUCGAAGGCCGCUACCGUCUUCCGAGAGUCGGGUUGUUUGAGAUUGCAGCCCAAAGCGGGUGGUAAACUCCAUCUAAAGCCGAACAGCGGCACGAGACCGAUAGCGAACAAGUACCAUGAGGGAAAGGUGAAAAGCACUUUGGAAAGAGAGUUAAAGAGACCGCGAAACCGUUAGGAGGGAAACGCAUGCAGCCGAACUGGCCUUCGCCGGGUUCACGGGGUCGCGGCAGUCCUGGUCGUGCCGAGCGCCACCCUUCGCGGGGUCGUCGGUUCGACGAGGUCUCCUUGCCCCUGCAUUCCCGGCGUCGAGGCCGGCCAAGGGCGGUGGUGUCCGCGGCGAG